This 402-nucleotide ribosomal RNA is filed under the name uncultured bacterium. RNAcentral's name for it is "bacterial SSU rRNA". It matches the Rfam family "Bacterial small subunit ribosomal RNA", at positions 355 to 774 of the family's 1533-position model. The record is from RNAcentral.
UCGGGAAUUUUGGGCAAUGGGCGAAAGCCUGACCCAGCAACGCCGCGUGAGGGAUGAAGUAUUUCGGUAUGUAAACCUCGAAAGAAUGGGAAGAAUAAAUGACGGUACCAUUUAUAAGCUCCGGCUAACUACGUGCCAGCAGCCGCGGUAAUACGUAGGGAGCAAGCGUUGUCCGGAUUUACUGGGCGUAAAGGGCGGGUAGGCGGCGCGGUAAGUCACUUGUGAAAUCUCUGAGCUUAACUCAGAACGGCCAAGUGAUACUGCUGUGCUAGAGUGCGGAAGAGGCAACCGGAAUUCUUGGUGUAGCGGUGAAAUGCGUAGAUAUCAAGAGGAACACCUGAGGCGAAGGCGGGUUGCUGGGCCGGCACUGACGCUGAUGCGCGAAAGCCAGGGGAGCAAACG